UAGUGACGAAAAAUAACGAUACGGGACUCAUCCGAGGCCCCGUAAUCGGAAUGAGUACAAUUUAAAACUUUUCCCGAGGAUCAAUUGGAGGGUAAGUCUGGUGCCAGCAGCCGCGGUAAUUCCAGCUCCAAUAGCGUAUAUUAAAGUUGUUGCGGUUAAAAAGCUCGUAGUCGAAUCUGUGUCCCGCGCCGCUGGUUCAUCGCUCGCGGUGUUCAACUGGCGUGUCUCGCGGGACGUCCUGCCGGUGGGCGCUCGUAUCGUUUCGGCGGUGCGUGGCCCAACUCGUAGCCGUCUCGCGCGGUUGCGAAUCCCAUCGCGGUGCUCUUUAUUGAGUGUCGAGGUGGGCCGGCACGUUUACUUUGAACAAAUUAGAGUGCUUAAAGCAGGCCAAUUUUGCCUGAAUAUUGUGUGCAUGGAAUAAUGGAAUAGGACCUCGGUUCUAUUUUGUUGGUUUUCGGAACCCCGAGGUAAUGAUUAAUAGGAACGGAUGGGGGCAUUCGUAUUGCGACGUUAGAGGUGAAAUUCUUGGAUCGUCGCAAGACGGACAGAAGCGAAAGCAUUUGCCAAAAACGCUUUCAUUGAUCAAGAACGAAAGUUAGAGGUUCGAAGGCGAUCAGAUACCGCCCUAGUUCUAACCAUAAACGAUGCCAGCUAGCGAUCCGCCGACGUUCCUCCGAUGACUCGGCGGGCAGCUUCCGGGAAACCAAAGCAUUUGGGUUCCGGGGGAAGUAUGGUUGCAAAGCUGAAACUUAAAGGAAUUGACGGAAGGGCACCACCAGGAGUGGAGCCUGCGGCUUAAUUUGACUCAACACGGGACACCUCACCAGGCCCGGACACCGGAAGGAUUGACAGAUUGAGAGCUCUUUCUUGAUUCGGUGG
RNAcentral lists this ribosomal RNA (879 nucleotides) under Eubadura yasukoae. RNAcentral describes it as "SSU rRNA". It matches the Rfam family "Eukaryotic small subunit ribosomal RNA", at positions 465 to 1273 of the family's 1831-position model. Lineage: Eukaryota; Metazoa; Arthropoda; Insecta; Coleoptera; Staphylinidae. The record is from RNAcentral.